GACGAACGCUGGCGGCGUGCCUAAUACAUGCAAGUAGGACGCACAGUUUAUACCGUAGCUUGCUACACCAUAGACUGUGAGUUGCGAACGGGUGAGUAACGCGUAGGUAACCUACCUAUUAGAGGGGGAUAACUAUUGGAAACGAUAGCUAAUACCGCAUAACAGUAUGUAGCACAUGUUAGAUGCUUGAAAGAUGCAAUUGCAUCGCUAGUAGAUGGACCUGCGUUGUAUUAGCUAGUAGGUAGGGUAAAGGCCUACCUAGGCAACGAUACAUAGCCGACCUGAGAGGGUGAUCGGCCACACUGGGACUGAGACACGGCCCAGACUCCUACGGGAGGCAGCAGUAGGGAAUCUUCGGCAAUGGGGGGAACCCUGACCGAGCAACGCCGCGUGAGUGAAGAAGGUUUUCGGAUCGUAAAGCUCUGUUGUUAAGGAAGAACGAGCGUGAGAAUGGAAAGUUCAUGCUGUGACG
Molecule: ribosomal RNA, 472 nt
Filed under: Streptococcus anginosus
Lineage: Bacteria; Bacillati; Bacillota; Bacilli; Lactobacillales; Streptococcaceae
Description: bacterial SSU rRNA
Rfam family: Bacterial small subunit ribosomal RNA
Source: RNAcentral